UACGAAGGGGGCUAGCGUUACUCGGAUUGACUGGGCGUAAAGGGCGCGUAGGCGGCAAUUCAAGUCAUCUGUGAAAUCUCCGGGCUUAACUCGGAACGGUCAGAUGAUACUGCUUUGCUAGAGUGCGGAAGGGGCAAUCGGAAUUCUUGGUGUAGCGGUGAAAUGCGUAGAUAUCAGGAGGAACACCAAUAGCGAAGGCAGCUCGCUGGGACGUUACCGACACUGAGGCGCGAAAGCGUGGGGAGCGAACAGG
Molecule: ribosomal RNA, 253 nt
Filed under: uncultured bacterium
Lineage: Bacteria
Description: partial 16S ribosomal RNA
Rfam family: Bacterial small subunit ribosomal RNA
Source: RNAcentral